GUGAAUCCGCAGCCCGACUUGAACGGAAAUCCUUUUUUGAUUGUACUCAAGUUCUAUUUAGACUGAAAUGGUCGACAAAAAAGAUUGGGAGUGGAAGGCGGAAAAGCUG
Molecule: small RNA, 109 nt
Filed under: Epilithonimonas xixisoli
Lineage: Bacteria; Pseudomonadati; Bacteroidota; Flavobacteriia; Flavobacteriales; Weeksellaceae
Description: Chryseobacterium xixisoli Flavo-1 RNA
Source: RNAcentral